Molecule: long non-coding RNA, 1254 nt
Filed under: Anas platyrhynchos platyrhynchos (common mallard)
Lineage: Eukaryota; Metazoa; Chordata; Aves; Anseriformes; Anatidae
Description: lncRNA (ENSAPLG00000021283.1)
Source: RNAcentral
GUUGUAAGUAGUGUUGACUCUGAGAACUUGGGCACUAAAUAUAGACCACUGCAUUUGCAGGAGGUUAGAGAGUAGGCACCACAUCAAGAUCAGAAGACUUUUUUUAAAAAACAAACAAACAAAAAAAAUCACCAGCUUUGCUCAAAAAGAAGUUGCAGGUAGGACUCAAGGAACCCAGGGAAAGACACAUUUUGUGCUGCCUCAUAAGGUCUCAAUGAUGAUCACUGUUUACCUCAGUGUCUUAUCGUCUCUUCAUGGUCUCAGAGAAGACUAUGAAAAUUCAUCAGAAGAAACCCAACCAGCCCACAACAUAUAUGCUAGCAAGAGAACAGCAUUAGUACUGAACUGAACAAGACAAAGCUAUUGUAUCACUCAAUGUAUGAAGAAAUGUAUGAAGAUAUAUAUGAAGAAACAGAGGUGAUUUUUUUUUGUUGUUGUUUUGUUUGUUUGUUUGUUUCUCCUCUUCUCUCUCCUCUUUCCUCUUCCUGGUAAGGUUAAUUUUUUUGUUGUUGUUGUCUUAUGAUAUAGUUUUGAUUAUUAAAAAUACAGAUUGUCUGAUUAAUUAUAAAUCAAUAGCCCAUUUAAAUUUGAAAUGAAGAAUUUCAGUCACUAAAAAAGAAAAUCUAGUCAUUCUGGUACAAACAUGGAAAAAAAAACAAUUAAAUAUUCCAAAAGUAUAGGUGAAAAUCACAUUUUUUCAAUUCCUUUUUAAGAAGUGUAUGCUUUGUAAUUCUUAAGUAGUAAUUUUCAUUUAGUCUCCAAAUAGCAUAGAACUUAAAUAAUAUUUCUACCCAGGCUCUCUGUACCAAAGGUAGUAGAGUGAUCUGCCUGAAUCUCUUCAACAUUACACCAUACAAUUUUUAGCGACUUUUAUGAUAUUUUUAGAAAUUGCUUCUGAUACUGUUAAGCUUCAGGUGAAGACAACUAAUCUUUACCACACCUAGAGGAUGUUUCCUGAAACUGGCCAGCCUCAAAUUGUGAUCUUGUUGUGUUUGAAGAGAAUAUCACAAGAUCUUGCUUGAUCUAGUCUGCAGACACAAGUUGAUGUAAGGAGACCUCAGCUUUGACUCAGCAGUGUGUGUGUAUGUGUACAUAGUUGAAUAUAUGUUUUAAUACAUUCAACUCAAGAAAUUAGUACUUAAAAAGAGUCAUCUCACAAAGCAAAUGAAGAAAAAUAUCACCCUUUAUUUCAUCAGCAAAGAAUGAUGGUAAGUGUCUGUCAUGCAAUAAAAGUUCUAACCUAGUUUCCUUCCA